AUACAGAGGGUGCGAGCGUUGUUCGGAAUUAUUGGGCGUAAAGCGCAAGUAGGCGGCCUGCCAAGUCGCGUGUGAAAGCUCCCGGCUCAACCGGGAAAGUGCGCGCGAAACUGGUGGGCUUGAGUGCCGGAGAGGGUGGCGGAAUUCCCGGUGUAGAGGUGAAAUUCGUAGAUAUCGGGAGGAACACCAGAGGCGAAGGCGGCCACCUGGAAGGACACUGACGCUGAGAGGCGAAAGCGUGGGGAGCAAACAGGAUUAGAUACCCUGGUAGUCCACGCCGUAAACGAUGAGUGCUAGCUGUGGCGGGAGUUGACCCCUGCCGUGGCGACGCUAACGCAAUAAGCACUCCGCCUGGGGAGUACGGCCGCAAGGCUAAA
RNAcentral lists this ribosomal RNA (377 nucleotides) under uncultured bacterium. RNAcentral describes it as "bacterial SSU rRNA". It matches the Rfam family "Bacterial small subunit ribosomal RNA", at positions 523 to 898 of the family's 1533-position model. The record is from RNAcentral.